GGAGGAUAAAUAAGGCUCUGUCAGCACAGAGGGAGCUGAAAGUCUAGGCUGGAGAUUUCAGCCUGCAAACUCCCAGACUCCAGGAAGGAACCUUCUCUGCUUUCUCUCUAGUCUCUUUGGAGCACCUUGAGGACAGGAGCUUGGCUUCAAGAAGACAGCAGAAGCACCAGGAGACGGGAAGAUACCUCUGAGAGUUAACCUACAGGAUCGGCAUUCCUGACUGCAGCUGUGCCAUGGACAUAAUAGAAUCUACAACUGAUGAGCCCAUGCUCAGAGGCAAAAAGGGGAAAAGUCUCCAAGAGAUGCUGAGAGAAGCAGGAUUGGCAGUUGAG
Molecule: long non-coding RNA, 332 nt
Filed under: Sus scrofa (pig)
Lineage: Eukaryota; Metazoa; Chordata; Mammalia; Artiodactyla; Suidae
Description: lncRNA (ENSSSCG00050031077.1)
Source: RNAcentral